GAAUAGAUCUGUUGGUUAGAGCGUGGUGCUGAUAAUGCCAAGGUUGAAGGUUCGAUCCUUUUAAGGGACA
Non-coding RNA from Podarcis lilfordi (Lilford's wall lizard), 70 nucleotides. Lineage: Eukaryota; Metazoa; Chordata; Lepidosauria; Squamata; Lacertidae. The record is from the annotation of a GenBank genome assembly.